Molecule: ribosomal RNA, 497 nt
Filed under: uncultured bacterium
Lineage: Bacteria
Description: partial 16S ribosomal RNA
Rfam family: Bacterial small subunit ribosomal RNA
Source: RNAcentral
GAUGAACGCUGGCGGCGUGCCUAAUACAUGCAAGUCGAGCGAACAGACGAGGAGCUUGCUCCUCUGACGUUAGCGGCGGACGGGUGAGUAACACGUGUAUAACCUACCUAUAAUACUGGGAUAACUUCGGGAAACCGGAGCUAAUACCGGAUAAUAUAUUGAACCGCAUGGUUCAAUAGUGAAAUACGGUUUUUCUUUCACUUAUAGAUGGUUCCGCGCCGCAUUAUCUAGUUGGUAAGGUAACGGCUUACCAAGGCAACGAUGCGUAGCCGACCUGAGAGGGUGAUCGGCCACACUGGAACUGAGACACGGUACAGACUACUACGGGAGGCAGCAGUAGGGAAUAUUCCACAAUGGGCGAAAGCAUGACGGAGCAACGCCGCGUGAGUGAUGAAGGUCUUCGGAUCGUAAAACUCUGUUAUUAGGGAAGAAAAAAUGUGUAAGUAAAUAUGCACGUAUUGACGGUAACUAAUCAGAAAGCCACGGCUAACUACGUG